Molecule: ribosomal RNA, 253 nt
Filed under: uncultured prokaryote
Description: partial 16S ribosomal RNA
Rfam family: Bacterial small subunit ribosomal RNA
Source: RNAcentral
ACAGAGGUCCCAAGCGUUGUUCGGAUUCAUUGGGCGUAAAGGGUGCGUAGGUGGCGAGGCAAGUCUGGUGUGAAAUCCCGGGGCUCAACCCCGGACGUGCACUCGAUACUCCCGAGCUAGAGGCAGGUAGGGGAGAGUGGAAUUCCCGGUGUAGCGGUGAAAUGCGCAGAUAUCGGGAGGAACACCGGUGGCGAAGGCGGCUCUCUGGGCCUGUCCUGACGCUCAGGCGCGAAAGCUAGGGGAGCGAACAGGA